AUUGAACGCUGGCGGCAUGCCUUACACAUGCAAGUCGAACGGUAACAGGUCUUCGGAUGCUGACGAGUGGCGAACGGGUGAGUAAUACAUCGGAACGUGCCCGAUCGUGGGGGAUAACGGGGCGAAAGCUUUGCUAAUACCCCAUACGAUCUACGGAUGAAAGCGGGGGAUCUUCGGACCUCCCGCGGACGGAGCGUCCGAUGGCAGAUUAGGUAGUUGGUGGGAUAAAAGCUUACCAAGCCGACGAUCUGUAGCUGGUCUGAGAGGAUGAUCAGCCACACUGGAACUGAGACACGGCCCAGACUCCUACGGGAGGCAGCAGUGGGGAAUUUUGGACAAUGGGCGAAAGCCUGAUCCAGCCAUGCCGCGUGCAGGAUGAAGGCCUUUGGGUUGUAAACUGCUUUUGUACGGAACGAAAAGCCUCUUUCUAAUAAAGAGGGGUCAUGACGGUACCGUAAGAAUAAGCACCGGCUAACUACGUG
This 482-nucleotide ribosomal RNA is filed under the name uncultured bacterium. Its description in RNAcentral is "partial 16S ribosomal RNA". It matches the Rfam family "Bacterial small subunit ribosomal RNA", at positions 30 to 507 of the family's 1533-position model. The record is from RNAcentral.